GAUGCUGUCAGCAGUAAAUAUUUGUAAUAUAAGCGAUCAAAAGUUCUUCUUCGCACGUGAGCAUCCAGAAAAGUCCAAGCAAACUUUAGGGCAGAGCUCUACUCAAACUGUUAGUGAUAAUUUAUUGUUAUACUAAAUAUUAUGUAGCUUCGUUUGUAUAUACUUCGGGCCAAUCAGCAAACCAGUUCAAUGUUUGGACUUGAGAUUCGAAACUCUGUUAGACUUUGGCACUGGCACUGGGCUACAAGAUUUGGCCUCAUCAAAGCCGGAGAGAAGAAAGAAAGAAACCGAUUGUUCCAAGACAAUUUGGAAAACCGGUAUUAUGGAGCCAGAUAGAACAAACACUUUAGCUGCAGAUAUUCUGAGAAACCCAAUUCAAGUGCAGGCCACAGGGGCUUGGCAGAUUUAUUCACAAUUGAGUAUUUAUUUCUUCGUAUUUGUACAUUAAUAUUUUGUAUGAUUCAUAAUUUAUAAUAAUUUAUUAAUAUUUUAUAUGAA
This is a long non-coding RNA of Drosophila pseudoobscura, 498 nucleotides long. RefSeq lists it as uncharacterized. The record is from RefSeq and is a predicted model, not a curated record. Lineage: Eukaryota; Metazoa; Arthropoda; Insecta; Diptera; Drosophilidae. The transcript is spliced from 2 exons.